AGAGUUUGAUCCUGGCUCAGAACGAACGCUGGCGGCGUGGAUAAGACAUGCAAGUCGCACGGAACACUUCGGUGUUGAGUGGCGCACGGGUGAGUGACACGUGAGCAACCUGCCCCUAAGACAGGGAUAGCCCCGGGAAACUGGGAUUAAUACCUGAUAGUCUCGCAAGAGUAAAGCAGCAAUGCGCUUAGGGAGGGGCUCGCGGCCUAUUAGUUAGUUGGCGGGGUAACGGCCCACCAAGGCGAUGACGGGUAGCCGGUCUGAGAGGAUGUCCGGCCACACUGGAACUGAGACACGGUCCAGACACCUACGGGUGGCAGCAGUCGAGAAUCAUUCACAAUGGGGGCAACCCUGAUGGUGCGACGCCGCGUGGGGGAGGAAGGUCUUCGGAUUGUAAACCCCUGUCAUGUGGGAGCAAGGCUUCGGCUUGAUAGUACCACAAGAGGAAGAGACGGCAAACUCUGUGCCAGCAGCCGCGGUAAGAGUAGAGGU
Molecule: ribosomal RNA, 492 nt
Filed under: uncultured bacterium
Lineage: Bacteria
Description: bacterial SSU rRNA
Rfam family: Bacterial small subunit ribosomal RNA
Source: RNAcentral